Molecule: non-coding RNA, 135 nt
Organism: Triticum aestivum (bread wheat)
Lineage: Eukaryota; Viridiplantae; Streptophyta; Magnoliopsida; Poales; Poaceae
Source: Rfam
GUGAUACUCCCUCCGUCCGGAAACACUUGUCAUCAAAAUGGAUAAAAAGAGAUGUAUCUAGCACUAAAAUACAUCUAGAUACAUCUCUUUUUAUCCAUUUUGAUGACAAGUGUUUUCGGACGGAGGGAGUAUUAG